Molecule: long non-coding RNA, 395 nt
Filed under: Homo sapiens (human)
Lineage: Eukaryota; Metazoa; Chordata; Mammalia; Primates; Hominidae
Description: non-protein coding lnc-PCDH8-8:1
Source: RNAcentral
AAACUAGGUCUUGUUAUGUCGCCAAGGCUGGUCUCCUACUCCUGGUCUCAAGUGAUCCUCCCACCUCUGCCUCCCAAUGCACUGGAGUUACAGGCAUGAGCCACUGUGCUCAGCCUGUAAUUGUUUUAGGACUGUACAAAUCAUGCCCAUAUAAGAUGAAUCUCUUAUACCUGACAGAAGUCAUGCCAGUUAGAGAUACUUGUGCAAGGCUUGGAUAACAAAAGUGAAACAGAAACUCCUCCUUGUUUAUGGCAGCUGAUACACAAAUCCCCAAAAUGAAAGCAUUUACAGCAGCUAGAAGAUCUGUUCCUCAGGAGAGUCACGUGUGUGCUGGGUGUGAGGCAGUCUGGACAAUGGUUGCAAUGGAGCAAUAACAAGAGGGGCCCCUGACAUCC